GCAAGUCGAACGAAGAGGCCCCUUCGGGGGUACUUCAGUGGCGGACGGGUGAGUAACACGUAGGCGACCUGCCCCGAAGCAGGGGAUAACGGCCCGAGAGGGCCGCUAAUACCCAAAAGGGUCACGAGUCAUAUCGUGAUCAGAGUUACGGCGUUUCGGGAGGGGCCUGCGGCCCAUCAGCUAGUUGGUAGGGUAACGGCCUACCAAGGCGACGACGGGUAGGGGGCCUGAGAGGGUGAUCCCCCACAUUGGCACUGACACACGGGCCAAACUCCUACGGGAGGCAGCAGUGAGGAAUAUUGCACAAUGAGCGAAAGCUAGAUGCAGCAACGCCGCGUGGACGACGAAGGCCUUCGGGUCGUAAAGUCCUUUUCAGGGGGACGAGUGAGGACGGUACCUCUGGAAUAAGUCACGGCUAACUACGUGCCAGCAGCCGCGGUAAAACGUAGGUGGCGAGCGUUAUCCGGAUUCACUGGGCGUAAAGCGCCUGCAGGCGGUCUCGUAAGUGGGAUGUGAAAUCUCUUGGCUCAACUGGGAGGGGCCAUUCCAUACUGCGGGUCUGGAGGGCAGAAGAGGGAAGCGGAAUUCCCGGUGUAGUGGUGAAAUGCGUAGAUAUCGGGAGGAACACCAGUGGCGAAGGCGGCUUCCUGGCCUGCUCCUGACGCUAAGAGGCGAAAGCUAGGGGAGCGAACGGGAUUAGAAACCCCGGUAGUCCUAGCCGUAAACGAUGGAUACUGGGUGUCGGCGGUCCUAACCCCGUCGGUGCCGAAGCAAACGCGUUAAGUAUCCUGGGGACUACGGCCGCAAGGUUAAAACUCAAAGGAAUUGACGGGACCCCGCACAAGCAGCGGAGCGUGUGGUUUAAUUCGAUGCUACACGAAGAACCUUACCCAGGUUUGACAUGCAAGUAGUAGUGAAGCGAAAGCGGAACGACCCGCAAGGGAGCUUGCACAGGUGCUGCAUGGCUGUCGUCAGCUCGUGCCGUGAGGUGUUGGGUUAAGUCCCCUAACGAGCGCAACCCUCGUCGUCAGUUACAUGUGUCUGGCGAGACUGCCGGUCUAAAGCCGGAGGAAGGUGGGGAUGAUGUCAAGUCAGCAUGGCCUUUAUAUCUGGGGCUACACACACGCUACAGUGGCCAGUACAAUGGGUCGCCAACCCGCGAGGGGGAGCCAAUCCUAAAAAGCUGGUCUCAGUUCGGAUUGCAGGCUGCAACCCGCCUGCAUGAAGUCGGAGUUGCUAGUAAACGCAGGUCAGCCAUACUGCGUUGAAUACGUUCCCGGGGUUUGUACACACCGCCCGUCACGUCAUGGGAGCUGGUAACACCUGAAGCCGGUGCGCUAACCGCAAGGGGGCAGCCGUCGAGGGUGGGACUGGUGACUGGGACGAAGUCGUAACAAGGUA
RNAcentral lists this ribosomal RNA (1401 nucleotides) under metagenome. Its description in RNAcentral is "bacterial SSU rRNA". It matches the Rfam family "Bacterial small subunit ribosomal RNA". The record is from RNAcentral.